UACGAAGGGGUCUAGCGUUGCUCGGAAUCACUGGGCGUAAAGGGUGCGUAGGCGGUGAGGUAAGUCUGAUGUGAAAUCUCCGAGCUUAACUCGGAAAUGGCAUUGGAAACUACUUUGCUAGAGGGUUGGAGGGGAGACUGGAAUUCUUGGUGUAGCAGUGAAAUGCGUAGAUAUCAAGAGGAACACCAGUGGCGAAAGCGAGUCUCUGGACAGCACCUGACACUGAGGCACGAAAGCUAGGGGAGCAAACAGG
Molecule: ribosomal RNA, 253 nt
Filed under: uncultured bacterium
Lineage: Bacteria
Description: partial 16S ribosomal RNA
Rfam family: Bacterial small subunit ribosomal RNA
Source: RNAcentral